AUGACUUUCAUCACCAUCUUCAUCUGGACACUGACCUGCUGCUGCUUUAAAGAGUCCAGAGGUCAGGUGACUGUGACUCAGACUCCUGUAGGGAAAUCUGUUCUUCCAGGAGACACAGUCACUAUCAACUGUAAAACCAGCUCUAGAGUGCACAAUGGUAAUGCUCUAGCCUGGUACCAACACAAACCUGGACAGGCUCCUAAACUCCUGAUUAAGCUUGUAAGCACCCGUCAGUCUGGAGUUCCAGCUCGUUUCAGUGGCACUGGAUCUGGGACUGACUUCACUCUGACCAUCAGUAACAUCCAGACUGAAGAUGCAGGAGAUUAUUACUGUCAGAGUCGACAUGACAUCAGUGAUAGCAAAUAUGUGUUCACACAGUGA
Non-coding RNA from Chanos chanos (milkfish), 381 nucleotides. Lineage: Eukaryota; Metazoa; Chordata; Actinopteri; Gonorynchiformes; Chanidae. The record is from the annotation of a RefSeq genome assembly.